GGAAAACAACAAACAACUUCUGAGUUACUCUUAAACAGGUUCAUAACCAUCUCAAAAAUGAUUGAUUGUCAUGAUGCUUCAGAGAUCGCUAUGUAUUACACUACUAUUAUACAGACAACACAGUGAAAUUACAUUGAAAGAGAAGAAGAGAAGGCUCGACUCGAGCAUGUCGACCAUUUACACGCCACUUUCAUUUGUAAUUGCUCCAGUCAUUGAUU
Molecule: unclassified non-coding RNA, 218 nt
Filed under: Hevea brasiliensis (rubber tree)
Lineage: Eukaryota; Viridiplantae; Streptophyta; Magnoliopsida; Malpighiales; Euphorbiaceae
Source: RNAcentral